AACGCGAAGAACCUUACCUGGUCUUGACAUGGGGAGUUUGGAUACCAGAAAAGGUAUCCUUCAGUUUGGCUGGCUCCCACACAGGUGCUGCAUGGCUGUCGUCAGCUCGUGUCGUGAGAUGUUGGGUUAAGUCCCGCAACGAGCGCAACCCUCACUCUUAAUUGCCAUCGUUCAGUUGGGCACUUUAAGGGAACUGCCGGUGAUAAGCCGGAGGAAGGUGGGGAUGACGUCAAGUCUUCAUGGCCCUUACGGCCUGGGCUACACACGUGCUACAAUGGCGGUGACAGAGAGUCGCGACCCUGCGAGGGGUAGCUAAUCUCCAAAAGCCGUCUCAGUUCGGAUUGCACUCUGCAACUCGAGUGCAUGAAGCUGGAAUCGCUAGUAAUCGCGCAUCAGCUCGGCGCGGUGAAUACGUUCCCGGGUCUUGUACACACCGAAUCACUAGUGAAUU
This 451-nucleotide ribosomal RNA is filed under the name uncultured soil bacterium. Its description in RNAcentral is "bacterial SSU rRNA". It matches the Rfam family "Bacterial small subunit ribosomal RNA", at positions 958 to 1411 of the family's 1533-position model. The record is from RNAcentral.